CGGCACGGGUGAGUAACACGUAUCCAACCUGCCGUCUACUCUUGGACAGCCUUCUGAAAGGAAGAUUAAUACAAGAUGGCAUCAUGAGUCCGCAUGUUCACAUGAUUAAAGGUAUUCCGGUAGACGAUGGGGAUGCGUUCCAUUAGAUAGUAGGCGGGGUAACGACCCACCUAGUCUUCGAUGGAUAGGGGUUCUGAGAGGAAGGUCCCCCACAUUGGAACUGAGACACGGUCCAA
RNAcentral lists this ribosomal RNA (236 nucleotides) under uncultured bacterium. RNAcentral describes it as "partial 16S ribosomal RNA". It matches the Rfam family "Bacterial small subunit ribosomal RNA", at positions 100 to 334 of the family's 1533-position model. The record is from RNAcentral.